UUGAACGCUGGCGGCAUGCCUUACACAUGCAAGUCGAACGGUAACGCGGGGCAACCUGGCGACGAGUGGCGAACGGGUGAGUAAUGCAUCGGAACGUGCCCAGAAGUGGGGGAUAGCCCGGCGAAAGCCGGAUUAAUACCGCAUGAGACCUGAGGGUGAAAGCGGGGGAUCGCAAGACCUCGCGCUUUUGGAGCGGCCGAUGUCAGAUUAGCUAGUUGGUGGGGUAAAGGCCUACCAAGGCGACGAUCUGUAGCUGGUCUGAGAGGACGACCAGCCACACUGGGACUGAGACACGGCCCAGACUCCUACGGGAGGCAGCAGUGGGGAAUUUUGGACAAUGGGCGCAAGCCUGAUCCAGCCAUGCCGCGUGCGGGAAGAAGGCCUUCGGGUUGUAAACCGCUUUUGUCAGGGAAGAAACGCUCUGGGCUAAUACCCUGGGGUAAUGACGGUACCUGAAGAAUAAGCACCGGCUAACUACGU
RNAcentral lists this ribosomal RNA (480 nucleotides) under uncultured bacterium. RNAcentral describes it as "bacterial SSU rRNA". It matches the Rfam family "Bacterial small subunit ribosomal RNA", at positions 29 to 506 of the family's 1533-position model. The record is from RNAcentral.